CCUACGGGAGGCAGCAGUGAGGAAUAUUGGACAAUGGGCGCAAGCCUGAUCCAGCCAUGCCGCGUGCAGGAAGACGGUCCUAUGGAUUGUAAACUGCUUUUGUACAGGAAGAAACACUCCCUCGUGAGGGAGCUUGACGGUACUGUAAGAAUAAGGAUCGGCUAACUCCGUGCCAGCAGCCGCGGUAAUACGGAGGAUCCAAGCGUUAUCCGGAAUCAUUGGGUUUAAAGGGUCCGUAGGCGGUUUAAUAAGUCAGUGGUGAAAUCUGGUCGCUCAACGAUCAAACGGCCAUUGAUACUGUUAGACUUGAAUUAUUAGGAAGUAACUAGAAUAUGUAGUGUAGCGGUGAAAUGCUUAGAUAUUACAUGGAAUACCAAUUGCGAAGGCAGGUUACUACUAAUGGAUUGACGCUGAUGGACGAAAGCGUGGGGAGCGAACAGGAUUAGAUACCCUGGUAGUCCACGCCGUAAACGAUGGAUACUAGCUGUUCGGAGCAAUCUGAGUGGCUAAGCGAAAGUGAUAAGUAUCCCACCUGGGGAGUACGUUCGCAAGAAUGAAAACUCAAAUGAAUUGACGG
RNAcentral lists this ribosomal RNA (577 nucleotides) under uncultured bacterium. RNAcentral describes it as "bacterial SSU rRNA". It matches the Rfam family "Bacterial small subunit ribosomal RNA", at positions 338 to 916 of the family's 1533-position model. The record is from RNAcentral.